GUGGUUGUGUGUGUGUUGUGUGUGUGUGUGUGGUGUGUGUGUGUGGUUGUGGUGUGUGUGUGUGUGUACACACACACACACACACACACACACACACACACACACACACACAUAUAUAUAUAUUAUAUUAUAUAUAUAUAUAUAUAUAUUAUAUAUAUAUAUACAUAUUUAUAUAUAUAU
RNAcentral lists this small nucleolar RNA (180 nucleotides) under Penaeus vannamei (Pacific white shrimp). Its description in RNAcentral is "Litopenaeus vannamei (Pacific white shrimp) Small nucleolar RNA SNORA23". It matches the Rfam family "Small nucleolar RNA SNORA23". From Rfam's summary of the family: The members of this family belong to the H/ACA class of snoRNAs which are thought to guide the sites of modification of uridines to pseudouridines. This family includes human snoRNA ACA23 (SNORA23) and mouse snoMBI-1. Lineage: Eukaryota; Metazoa; Arthropoda; Malacostraca; Decapoda; Penaeidae. The record is from Rfam by way of RNAcentral.